Molecule: small RNA, 302 nt
Filed under: Vigna angularis var. angularis
Lineage: Eukaryota; Viridiplantae; Streptophyta; Magnoliopsida; Fabales; Fabaceae
Description: Non-protein coding transcript
Source: RNAcentral
GGAGGGGUAAAGAUCCUUGCUGAAAUUUUUGUGAGAGAGGAGAAGUUCUUGCUGCAAAGUGGUGAAAGAGGAGAAGUUCAAAGUUGCUGGAGGUGGAAAAGAAGCCUUGGUUCUACAAGUUUUGAGAGAAGUAGAUUCAAAGAAUUCACAAAGGAAGUCUUCAAGAGAUGGUGGAGAGGAAACUUUGGGAGCAACUCUUGAAGGAGACGGCAGUGCUGCAGCGUAGAUUUACUAGUUUUUAUUUCGUGAACUCGUUUAAUUACAUUUGGUGUAUUUUAAGUUUUAAAUUUUCCGUAAUUUCC